ACAAGGACAAAGAUUGAGAUGAUUCUGUAGAAAUUCUCGGUAAGCCAUGUGGAAAAAUCAAGGCUUUUGGAGUCGGCGAACCUGUUGGGGUGAAGUGUGGAGAA
Molecule: long non-coding RNA, 104 nt
Organism: Hibiscus syriacus
Lineage: Eukaryota; Viridiplantae; Streptophyta; Magnoliopsida; Malvales; Malvaceae
Exons: 3
Source: RefSeq, a predicted model, not a curated record